GAACCGCGAUAUGCAAUGCGAUCCGCAGCCCUUGUGAAUCAUCUGAUUCUUGAACGCAUCUGGCACUCGAUGGCUGGUUACAGCUAUCGGGUAUACCUGUUUGAGAAUUUAUUUUUCUCUUCAAUCUUUUGUUUUCGUUUUAAGUAAUGAGUUCAAAAGAAUGAGAUAGUGAUGAUCCAGUUGGUCUUGUAUCAAUUGGUGAAUCGAAAUAGAGAGAUGAAGGAUAUUUGAGUUCUGGUUGGUAAAACAAUCGUUACUUCAGAUAUUGAAAAUAUAGAGUGACACAUUUUAUAAUUUCAUCCGCUUUUAUCUUUAGGUUAACGAAAAUACAUUCUAAACUUAAUCUCAAAUCAGGUAAGAUUACCCGCUGAACUUAA
Molecule: unclassified non-coding RNA, 377 nt
Filed under: uncultured fungus
Lineage: Eukaryota; Fungi
Description: sequence contains ITS1
Rfam family: 5.8S ribosomal RNA (bases 1-110)
Source: RNAcentral